UACGGGGGGAGCAAGCGUUGUUCGGAUUUACUGGGCGUAAAGGGCGCGUAGGCGGUCGUGACAAGUCACUUGUGAAAUCUCCGGGCUUAACUCGGAACGGUCAAGUGAUACUGUCGUGCUAGAGUACAGAAGGGGCAACUGGAAUUCUCGGUGUAGCGGUGAAAUGCGUAGAUAUCGAGAGGAACACCUGCGGCGAAGGCGGGUUGCUGGGCUGAUACUGACGCUGAGGCGCGAAAGCUAGGGGAGCGAUCCGG
Molecule: ribosomal RNA, 254 nt
Filed under: uncultured bacterium
Lineage: Bacteria
Description: partial 16S ribosomal RNA
Rfam family: Bacterial small subunit ribosomal RNA
Source: RNAcentral